This 501-nucleotide ribosomal RNA is filed under the name uncultured bacterium. RNAcentral's name for it is "bacterial SSU rRNA". It matches the Rfam family "Bacterial small subunit ribosomal RNA", at positions 29 to 518 of the family's 1533-position model. The record is from RNAcentral.
AUUGAACGCUGGCGGCAGGCCUAACACAUGCAAGUCGAACGGCAGCGGGGAGUAGCUUGCUACUCUGCCGGCGAGUGGCGAACGGGUGAGUAAUGCAUCGGAACGUAUCCUGUAAUGGGGGAUAACGUAGCGAAAGUUACGCUAAUACCGCAUACGCUCGAGAGAGGAAAGUGGGGGAUCGCAAGACCUCACGUUAUAGGAGCGGCCGAUGUCCGAUUAGCUAGUUGGUGGGGUAAAGGCCUACCAAGGCGACGAUCGGUAGCUGGUCUGAGAGGAUGAUCAGCCACACUGGGACUGAGACACGGCCCAGACUCCUACGGGAGGCAGCAGUGGGGAAUUUUGGACAAUGGGCGAAAGCCUGAUCCAGCCAUGCCGCGUGCGGGAAGAAGGCCUCGGUUGUAACGCUUAGUCCGGAAAGGGGUAGGCGAGGAGUAAUAACCCUCGUGCUUGUAUGGUACUGGAAGAAUAAGACACCGGCGUAACUAACGUGCCAGCAGCCGC